AUACGUAGGGUGCAAGCGUUAAUCGGAAUUACUGGGCGUAAAGCGUGCGCAGGCGGUUUUGUAAGACAGUGGUGAAAUCCCCGGGCUCAACCUGGGAACUGCCAUUGUGACUGCAAGGCUGGAGUGCGGCAGAGGAGGAUGGAAUUCCGCGUGUAGCAGUGAAAUGCGUAGAUAUGCGGAGGAACACCGAUGGCGAAGGCAAUCCCCUGGGCCUGCACUGACGCUCAUGCACGAAAGCGUGGGGAGCAAACAGGAUUAGAUACCCUGGUAGUCCACGCCCUAAACGAUGUCAACUGGUUGUUGGGGAUUUAUUGACUCAGUAACGAAGCUAACGCGUGAAGUUGACCGCCUGGGGAGUACGGCCGCAAGGUUGAAACUCAAAUGAAUUGACGGGG
This 395-nucleotide ribosomal RNA is filed under the name uncultured bacterium. Its description in RNAcentral is "partial 16S ribosomal RNA". It matches the Rfam family "Bacterial small subunit ribosomal RNA", at positions 523 to 918 of the family's 1533-position model. The record is from RNAcentral.